AUAUGCUGAAAUUCAUGACAUCCAUGCCUUGCACUCUUUCAUAUACUAGCAGAGCUCCUUGAGAACCGAGCCCCUGAUGAACCUGUUCCACUACCAUCACCAAUCGAAGAUUUUGAAGCAGCCAGUGUGACACAGGCAUAUAAUGAAGAGUUUGAAGCAGCCAUUGUGGCACAGGCAGCUGGUGUUGAACAGAGUAGCCCCGAAACUGCAGACAAGAGCCUUCAAGUUGUGAUAAAACCAGUAACAUCUUGCACGGCGUCACAAGCAGACAUAAAAAAAAGUGCAACUUCAUUUCACGUGGGACGCAGACAAAGCCUCGGGGUGUUUCAAUCGGUGUCCAGGUUGGCAACUUCACUGCAGAUGUUGCUACUCAGGUCAUGAAUGUGGCAGAGCCAUGUUAUGAGAGUGACAGUGACAGCCUAAGUGACAGUGAACCUCCUUCUGAUUUCGACGACGAUUACAAUCCUGACAAUGACCCUUGCCACGAGUAUGUUAUGCUAUUCUUACUGUUGCAUAGCCUUUGAGAUGUCAGCACUUUCUGCAGCCUGUGGUUCAUGACUAGUUGUGUAAAUUACAUGCAACUCUCCUACAAGUUUUCAAACCAUCUAAAUAUUUUCCAUUCGGUGAAAAUCUCGUAUGUCUUUCAGGCCCGACACCUGUGCCGACUCUUCGGAAGAUGGAGUAAUUUUAGUUGAAAAAAGGCACCUGACCACAUUGUUUCUAGUCUGCCGCACAUGCCUUGCUCCUUGCACAUACAGUCUUCGCUGUGAAGGGACAGUUACAGAGGUGUGUGCUCAGUGCCCACUAGGAUACCAGCUAUGCUGGAGGAACCAAGACGUUGUAAACCAGCAGCCAGUGCUAAACCUGAAGCCUUCUGCUGCCCUUUUGUUUUCGGGCAAUAACCCUGCUGCAACUUUGAGGAUGCUGGCUUCUAUAGGUGUUGAAGUAGUUACGGACAGGACCUUCUUCAAUAUCCAGCGUAUUCACCUUUGGCCUGCAGUGGACAAAGUUUGGAGGGAACAACAAAAGCAGCUAUUCGAAAAUGCCCGUGGCCAAGAAGUUGAGCUUGCAGGGGAUGGGCGGGCUGAUUCGCCUGGCUUCAGUGCCAAAUUUGGCACAUACUCUUUGAUGGAUGUUGCAAACAACAAAGUGCUCCACGUAGAGCUU
Molecule: long non-coding RNA, 1167 nt
Filed under: Dermacentor andersoni
Lineage: Eukaryota; Metazoa; Arthropoda; Arachnida; Ixodida; Ixodidae
Description: uncharacterized LOC126538460
Source: RNAcentral